This 253-nucleotide ribosomal RNA is filed under the name uncultured bacterium. RNAcentral describes it as "partial 16S ribosomal RNA". It matches the Rfam family "Bacterial small subunit ribosomal RNA", at positions 524 to 776 of the family's 1533-position model. The record is from RNAcentral.
UACGUAGGGUGCGAGCGUUGUCCGGAAUUAUUGGGCGUAAAGGGCUCGUAGGCGGUCUGUCACGUCGGGAGUGAAAACACGGGGCUUAACCCCGUGCCUGCUUCCGAUACGGGCAGACUAGAGGUAUGCAGGGGAGAACGGAAUUCCUGGUGUAGCGGUGAAAUGCGUAGAUAUCAGGAGGAACACCGGUGGCGAAGGCGGUUCUCUGGGCAUUACCUGACGCUGAGGAGCGAAAGUGUGGGGAGCGAACAGG